This 2095-nucleotide long non-coding RNA is filed under the name Vulpes vulpes (red fox). RNAcentral's name for it is "lncRNA (ENSVVUG00000022307.1)". The record is from RNAcentral. Lineage: Eukaryota; Metazoa; Chordata; Mammalia; Carnivora; Canidae.
AUGCCAUUAGGAGUUCUUGUGUCCCUGCGGUCAGUCGUGGGGCGCUGCGGCUGGCCCCAGCGAGAACUGCGGCCCCUCUGCUCCUGCUCUGCAAGUUUCUCUACCCGGAGGCUUGGGCUGUCGCUGAUGCACAGGUUGUCCCGUCUCCCAGGAGCCCAUGUGGACAAGGGAGAGUGCGCGGACUCCACAGGGGCCUCCAUGCCUGCCAUGAAUUCCUCCCACUUCCUUCUCGGGAUGAGGUAUCCAAAAAGGCCUUUGGCCCUUUCUGGGAAUGGAAGAAAGAGCAAAGUGAGGCAACGAGGGAGGAGACCCCCUGGAGAAAGACCGAGGAAGACUGCCCAUGUGCCGCGUUGGUGGACAGGAUGCUCCAGCAGGACCUGUCCCCCAGGAGCCCUGGAUUUGGGAAGCAUCACCCUGGGGGCCCAGGGUCACUCAGGAAUCCUGCCUCUGGGGAGGUUUGUCCUGAAAUGCACGCUUGUUUUCUGGGGCCUGGUUCCAAGACUUGCGUACACACGCGUGGUGGUGCAUCCCAGCGGCUGAGACAGCCGAGGAGGACUGGCGGACGGUUCCGUGACCUGCCGGGUGGAGCACGUGGCCUGGCCGGGGACAGCCCCGUGGUGCAGCAUCCUACCCUGCACCUGCUUGGACACUCACAACACCUGUCCCGUGUUUCCCUGGUGGAGGGGGGUGUUUCCAGGUCUUGACUCUUACCAGUAAAGCUGUUCUGAAUAUUCUUACACGAGUCUUUGGUGAGGGUGGAGGGUAUACGUUUUCAUUUGUUCCUGUUGCUGGGCCGGGCGAGCGCUUCCCUCCAGGAGAAGCUGCCAGAUAGAUGCUUGCCGGCCAGAGCAGUUACACUCACAUCCACAACUGGCCUCUGCUGUUGGGUCCCGGCCUGCGUGUGAGCUAUCGGCUGCCCCCAGUCCGUCCAUGCUGGGGCUGAGGCCCGAGGGGAUCUCCUGGCGUUGCCCAAAUGUAUUUGGUCACAUAAGAUCUUAUGAUUCCGGUGGAGGAAAUAUGCUGGCCUGGGAAAUCCUGCUGGCGGAGAAGCCGAGGCUGAGACGCUGCUGCCCGGGAUUCUGAUCUAGACUUGCCGGAAGUCCCAUGGGCAGGCUGAUCCCCACCAACCUGGGGAGCUCUUGGAGCAGCCAGUCCCCUUCUCCUGGGCAGGGGCAUCCAUUCCCCACCUUCUGGGACUGCUCCUGCUGGCCUCAGUGUGGGGGUGAUGGGCCUGUCUCCGUGCUGAGCCAGCAGCCAUACAGUCAGGCCCCAAAGUCGAGGGGAGAUCCUGGAGGAACCCAUACCCCCACGGAUGUGAAACUCUCUCAAGGCCAAAAGGCACCUUCGCUGACACUCAGGCUCCAUGAGCGAUAGCUGUGAGCAGCUCCAGACACCAAUGCUGCAGGCUAUCAGCUGUCAUGGACUUUAUGGCCUGUGUCCCCCCACCCCAGUGCCCCCUGUGGCGGCUGCUGGCUUACCUGCAUCCACCUGGCCUCACCUCACUUGCUGCAGAGCGUCUGCCAGGACUUCGAUGCCUCUCUAGGACUCUGGUGGGGGCGACCAGGUGGGAAUUCCUUGGAUCACUUUUGUUUCAAAGAGAAGGUGUGGAUGCGGGAUCCAGGAUGGACAACGAGUAGGUGCAAGUGCGGGAUCCAGGAUGGGCAACGAGAAGGUGCGGGUGCAGGAUCCAGGAUGGCAACUACUGGCUUUGGUGCUCGUGUGCUUAUGAGCUUCCUUCUCUAAGCCAGACAGAAUCAAGACUUGACCUUACUUGGGAGCUCCAAACAUGGACCCUGCCAGAAACAGGGAGCCGGUUACUUAUCGGGGACUCUCCCCACCCAGCCCCGGGCUCAUGGAAGACACUGUCCCUUCCCUCCCGUGGUCCACACUUCUUGCCAGAAGAACCCAAUUCUGCAUCUGUGUAGCAGGGAGAGAGCAUUCCAGCUCCCAGGAGGAAGCAUUUCCAUAUCCAUUUGGUCUGAACUAGUCACAGCAAUAACCUCUCCUUUCCUUUGCCACUGUUUUGGGGGGACCGGGAAUGGGACCCUUCAAGGCAUAACAAAAAAAAUAAAAAGAGAGAGAAAAGAAAAGAUCA